AAACCCAAUCAGUUCUGACCUCUGCAACUCUAACAGUUCAUACCUUUGGCUUGUUAUGUUAUAAUGCUGACUAUGACUCUGUGCAUGUCUGUGUGCUACUAUGACAUUUCUCCUUCAACUCCACAGCUGGAUGAUUUGACAGAUUAUUAAGAAAGGCUUUUGAGUUUGCAGAGGAUUCAAGGACAAGAUGAAGGGAUGUAUGACGCCAGGACAAAGACUGUGACUACUCUGGCACAGCAGUAGCAAACUUUGACAGUGAUCCAGGAAGUUGAACAAUUACUUAAGGUGAAGCAUAUCACUGGUGCAGCUAUCAACGGAGCCAUCCACAUUUUUUCAACAACAAAAAAUAUGAAGCCAUUUCCAGUCAGUUCCCUCCUGUCCUGCAUUUGUGGCCCAGUCUUUCCUCUGUUUAAGUCAAUCAGGACGUAUUCAUUGACUUAAACUGGAGCAGAUGAAGUUCUUCAACUUGCACAGGCUAAGAAGCCGGAGAGCUGAAUGUUUUCUACGAGCCAAGAGGAUUCAGUUGCAUCCCAUUUACAGGAUGAAUAGGAUUCAGUUUCAUCCGAAAGGAGCCUGGGUCAUCCAGACCGCACAGCAGUGAGAACAAAAGCACAGAAAAUGGGAACCAUUGGGAGACUGGCCUCUAAAGCACCUACAACCCUGACUACAUCUGUGAUGGCGACAAGCUCCCAGUGGGUCACAAUAAAUACCCAGUGGCAAUGGAGACAAGUGGGUGGAGUAUAAGAGUGCCUGGAGUUAACAUAAUGAAACUGAAUCCUUUUCUUGAACAAGAAGUGAAAUAAACUUUAAAUCAAAGUCUCCAUUAAGGCCCCUUCUGCAAGAUGCUACUUUCAGUUUCUGAUAAUCAUUAUAAAUGGAGCAGAUUGGAAAAACUCAAAUGGAUCCAAUAUGAAAAGCCUCGCUGCCUCCAGUCACUGCAGGGGGAGAGGAAUGCAGCCCCACUUACCUCCAAACUCAUUUUGGUCUUCCUACACCCCGACAGUAAAAUACAUGUGGAAAACCAGAAAUGCUGUGAGGUGAUGACAAUUACCUGAAGAUAUGAAGAUGAGCAGUGAACAGACCAGAGAAGAGAAGUCAGGUGUGGAUGGCCAGGCCACACCAUACUUCUGUACUCAUUAAGAAAAUAAAUAAACUCUUAGUUGGAUACAUUAAAAAAGAGUUGGUGGUUUCCAGCUGCAACUCACUUUAGUUCUUUAAAAUUAUCCUUGCGUUUCUGUUUAAGAAUUUACCUUGAGGAGGGAUGGGAAUCUGCUGCAUGCUACCAUCUGUCUUUCCUUAGAAAUACAGCACAAUAAAAGUGAGAUUGUCUUGUCUCUUUUAUAAGGUUAGUAAGAAAGCUUUGAUUGCUUCUUCUCUUAUUCACUAGAAAUUUAUAGUAAGAUGUUAUAUUUUCCUUUUGUCUGUUUGCCACAACAUCUGAGCUGUGUGUGAAAGACUGUGCCCUGUGGAUGAGAAGGUGCUUCACAGAGAGCAGCUUCAGUGAGCCAACUUAUUCACCAUGGUUCAAAGAUGGAAACUCCCCUCCAUUCUCAGAAUUUUGGUGCUUUUUGUUAUAUUCUGGGAUACUGUUGUGGUUAUAGCUUACUUCUGCCCCUUCUCCUGAAAUGCCCAAAUUUCUGUGAUGUGAGUUUUGUUCUACUUUUAGGAUGCCAAGUGGAAGAUUAUUCUAUUUCACUUUUGAGUCCUUUCCUGUUAUUACCUCAAACAUCGACAACAAAUUUUUCAGCCUUUCCCUUUUCUGAAGCAGUGGUGACAAAGUUCCUCUUUCUUUCCCCUUCUUCUUUUUCUUUUAAAACACAAAGAAACAAAACAUUCUCCAGAUGUUUUGUGAUCUAAUCCCUUAUUAACUUUGGAAAGAUCCUUUCUACCACAGGGAUCAGAUUCAUUAAUCUAUGGCUUCCUGACUCCUCUCCUACAGUAUUUCCAGGAAUGCAGAUACCUAUUUUGGCAUGGAAUCUGUAUUCCAUGAGCACAAACCUUCAAAUAUAUCUAUUUAC
RNAcentral lists this long non-coding RNA (2018 nucleotides) under Gallus gallus (chicken). The record is from RNAcentral. Lineage: Eukaryota; Metazoa; Chordata; Aves; Galliformes; Phasianidae.